This is a long non-coding RNA of Ipomoea nil (Japanese morning glory), 156 nucleotides long. RefSeq lists it as uncharacterized. The transcript has 3 exons. The record is from RefSeq and is a predicted model, not a curated record. NCBI's taxonomy places the organism in Eukaryota, Viridiplantae, Streptophyta, Magnoliopsida, Solanales, Convolvulaceae.
AAACAUACCCAUUUUCCUUUCACUAAUGCAUCAUUUUCCAUUGACCUCAUUUUCCCCCCUCUUGCCAAACACUAAAAACUCGGAAAACAUUGUCCGGAAGUCAUUUUUCGGGUUUCCAAACACACCCUAAAUUACAAUUAUUUAAUGGAAUUUGUU